GACGAACGCUGGCGGCGUGCUUAACACAUGCAAGUCGAGCGGUAAGGCCCUUUCGGGGGUACACGAGCGGCGAACGGGUGAGUAACACGUGGGUGACCUGCCCUUAGCUCUGGGAUAAGCCUGGGAAACUGGGUCUAAUACCGGAUAUGACUCCAUGACGCAUGUUGUGGGGUGGAAAGCCUUGUGCGGCUAGGGAUGGGCCCGCGGCCUAUCAGCUUGUUGGUGGGGUGAUGGCCACCAAGGCGACGACGGGUAGCCGGCCCUGAGAGGGCGACCGGCCACACUGGGACUGAGACACGGCCCAGACUCCUACGGGAGGCAGCAGUGGGGAAUCUUGCGCAAUGGCGAAAGCCUGACGCAGCGACGCCGCGUGAGGGAUGACGGCCUCGG
Molecule: ribosomal RNA, 390 nt
Filed under: uncultured bacterium
Lineage: Bacteria
Description: bacterial SSU rRNA
Rfam family: Bacterial small subunit ribosomal RNA
Source: RNAcentral